ACGAACGCUGGCGGCGUGCUUAACACAUGCAAGUCGAACGGAAAGGCCCUGCUUUUGUGGGGUGCUCGAGUGGCGAACGGGUGAGUAACACGUGAGUAACCUGCCCUUGACUUUGGGAUAACUUCAGGAAACUGGGGCUAAUACCGGAUAGGAGCUCCUGCUGCAUGGUGGGGGUUGGAAAGUUUCGGCGGUUGGGGAUGGACUCGCGGCUUAUCAGCUUGUUGGUGGGGUAGUGGCUUACCAAGGCUUUGACGGGUAGCCGGCCUGAGAGGGUGACCGGCCACAUUGGGACUGAGAUACGGCCCAGACUCCUACGGGAGGCUGCAGUGGGGAAUAUUGCACAAUGGGCGGAAGCCUGAUGCAGCAACGCCGCGUGCGGGAUGACGGCCUUCGGGUUGUAAACCGCUUUCGCCUGUGACGAAGCGUGAGUGACGGUAAUGGGUAAAGAAGCACCGGCUAACUACGUG
RNAcentral lists this ribosomal RNA (467 nucleotides) under uncultured bacterium. RNAcentral's name for it is "partial 16S ribosomal RNA". It matches the Rfam family "Bacterial small subunit ribosomal RNA", at positions 29 to 507 of the family's 1533-position model. The record is from RNAcentral.